This 253-nucleotide ribosomal RNA is filed under the name uncultured bacterium. RNAcentral's name for it is "partial 16S ribosomal RNA". It matches the Rfam family "Bacterial small subunit ribosomal RNA", at positions 524 to 776 of the family's 1533-position model. The record is from RNAcentral.
UACGAAGGGGGCUAGCGUUGUUCGGAUUUACUGGGCGUAAAGCGCACGUAGGCGGCCUUGUAAGAUGGGGGUGAAAUCCCCGGGCUCAACCCGGGAACUGCCUUCAUGACUGCAAAGCUAGAGGAUGCGAGAGGUUAGCGGAAUUCCGAGUGUAGAGGUGAAAUUCGUAGAUAUUCGGAAGAACACCAGUGGCGAAGGCGGCUAACUGGCGCAUUUCUGACGCUGAGGUGAGAAAGCGUGGGGAGCAAACAGG